CCUACGGGAGGCAGCAGUAAGGAAUAUUGGUCAAUGGACGCAAGUCUGAACCAGCCAUGCCGCGUGAAGGAUGACGGCCCUCUGGGUUGUAAACUUCUUUUAUCUGGGACGAAAAAAGGGCUUUCUAGCUCACUUGACGGUACCAGAGGAAUAAGCACCGGCUAACUCCGUGCCAGCAGCCGCGGUAAUACGGAGGGUGCAAGCGUUAUCCGGAUUUACUGGGUUUAAAGGGUGCGUAGGUGGGCAGGUAAGUCAGCGGUGAAAUCUCCGAGCUUAACUCGGAAACUGCCAUUGAUACUAUCUGUCUUGAAUAUCCUGGAGGUGAGCGGAAUAUGUCAUGUAGCGGUGAAAUGCUUAGAUAUGACAUAGAACACCAAUUGCGAAGGCAGCUCACUACGGGGUUAUUGACACUGAGGCACGAAAGCGUGGGGAUCAAACAGGAUUAGAUACCCUGGUAGUCCACGCCCUAAACGAUGGAUACUCGACAUACGCGAUAUACUGUGUGUGUNUGNGNGAAGAGAUAAGUAUCCACCGUCGGUAAGUAGUUAGUUCGCGAAGAGUUAGUUAACGUUACGAAGAAGUUAGACGGCGUUGAGACGUUGCCGAACGGACGACGACGAGGGGAGGUAGGAG
This 633-nucleotide ribosomal RNA is filed under the name uncultured bacterium. Its description in RNAcentral is "bacterial SSU rRNA". The stretch from base 1 to 533 matches the Rfam family "Bacterial small subunit ribosomal RNA", at positions 338 to 873 of the family's 1533-position model. The record is from RNAcentral.